This is a long non-coding RNA of Anser brachyrhynchus (Pink-footed goose), 2136 nucleotides long. The record is from Ensembl. NCBI's taxonomy places the organism in Eukaryota, Metazoa, Chordata, Aves, Anseriformes, Anatidae.
CGCGAGGCCAAAGGCAGCUGUGUUGGGAGUGGCCUGGAAGAUGCCCUCACAUGGAAGAAGAAGGAGAGUUGGGCUGGCUGAGGGCCCCUUUUUCUGGGGCUGGCUGCCCCGGGCCACUUGGCUUGCCAGGGGAAAAGGCUGCCCCUCGGCCACAGGAACUGCCCUCCACCUCCCAUCCUGUGCCCUGGGUUUAUUUUUAACACUGUUUUUUAGGUAAUUUCAUUCUAUUCUUUAUCGAAAAGAACAGAAGCAAGGUGCAUCUUCAGCCCUAAUUCCCAUGUGUGCUUUGUGCUCUGAGUGAAGAAUUUCUUCCUCACAUCACAUCUAAUCUAAAUCUCCCCUCCAUUUGUUCAAAGUCAUUAUUCCUUAUUCCAUCGGAACGUUACGUGAUAGAGUCCCUCUCCAGCUUUCUUGUAAGCUAUUUGUAUGGGUUAGGUUAGGUGGCAAAACUGCAGGACCUUACAAAUUGCAGCCUUAUCUACCUCGUUACAGUGUUUCUAGCUUAGUCAACCUGGAAAUGUUUUGGUUGAUCAGCUUUCUUGGAUGCCUUAGUCAAUGCACUGUCCAGCUCACCGCAUAUGCAGCUGUGCAGUAAUGGAUUUGUGGUGAAGCUCCUGCAAGAGUUAAAAAAGAAAGAUGUGUAUUCAGCUUGUGAUCAUUUCUCAUCUGCCUCCACCUGUCUCAGGAGCUCCUGCAAAAGCUCCCACCAGCCCAGUGACAUCUUACCAAAAAUUCCUAUCAAACAAUCAAAAGACAGCUACCUACAGGCAUGCCAGAAAACUGUAGAAAGAAGGAAACAGAGGUGUUUGGAGGAUGCGUGUGUUGACUAGAGCCAGUGUUUAAAAUACAGAACAGUUACAAUCAUGCCAUCACUGUUUGACAAUGCACAUUUCCUCACAGAGCUAAAACUAACAAUAACGUCUAUCUUUUCUGCAGUAUUUCUCAUCAGAAGAUCUUGAAGUACCAUUGAUAGCAGAUAUUACAGCUCAGCCACAGGCAUCGUGACUACACAUCUCUGACCAUCUAUACCAUGCUAGCCUGGGAGAAAUGCUGAGACAUGCACUCUCCUGCAGUUGCUACUCAGUUCCCUGGCAAAUCACACUCCAAGACACCCAAAGGAACAAAAACAUGCCAUGAAGGAAAGUGUGUCAAAAUUUCAUCAGGCCCACAUCAGUGCAGAUUUUCUUGCACUGCAGGCACUCCCAGCACUGAAGAGCUCCCUUACUCAGGGACACACUCAGUGGUAACUUUAGACCAUUUCUGAGGACACGGUAUUAUCUCAUCCUAGUAAGGAGAGGCAGCUGCAAUGUGUUGAUAAUCAGAUAAUCAGGUCUGUGUAGCCCAAAAUGUUUGAUAUGACUACUGUAUACCACAGGAAAAAGUGAGCAUCUGAACUUGGAAGAGAUUAGUAGAAUUUUUGGUAUGAGUAAAGCCCAUAGGAUUAGGGCUGAAAAGAGGAGUACUGUUUUCUUAGUUUUUAUUUUGUCUUCUGAGCAGCUGGAUAGCCAGCUCUGGUGCUUUUCCAUCUAAUGAACAUGGGCAAUUUUUAAUGAACUCAGAGGUGGGCAAGGCCCAAACUCCCUGCCCAAAAAACUGUAUAGCAGAGAUAGAAGGAGCCCUUAUAUUUGUUUAUUGCAGCUUUUCAGACACAUGUUUAUGCUGAAAGAACAUAUUUCUUUCCUGCUUUUAAGGCACAGGCUAGAUCAUAGCAGGUCUUUCUCUUCUUUCUUUGAGUGGCCACAGCCAGGAAAGAGCUUCUAGGCAUAUCUAACCUCAAAAGAUUCCAAAACUGUAACUUUACUGUGGUAAACCAAGGCAUGGACUGCAGCACUGAAACAUGACUAUCCUGACUAUCCAUAUUGCUUAAUUGCUCACAUGGUCCCUGCAAACUGGCCUUCGCUGGUUCUCCAGACAGGCAGGAAUUGUUCAGGUAGUUGCAUGUGGCAGGACUAUUCCCAGUGGGCUGUGUGAUGAAGUCUUUUUGAGUAUCUUAGGAGAGGAGAUAGUUUAGGCUCUGUAGAUGGGAGUUGGGACAGGCCACUUGCCCUAUGAGCCAGAGAACAGGACCGUUCUAUUUGCAGCAACAAACAUAUCCUGAAAUGACCAUAAUAAACAAGUCAUUGCAAGUGAGUAUCA